Molecule: ribosomal RNA, 449 nt
Filed under: uncultured bacterium
Lineage: Bacteria
Description: bacterial SSU rRNA
Rfam family: Bacterial small subunit ribosomal RNA
Source: RNAcentral
UCCCAGACUCCUACGGGAGGCAGCAGUGGGGGAUAUUGGACAAUGGGGGGAACCCUGAUCCAGCGACGCCGCGUGAGUGAAGAAGUAUUUCGGUAUGUAAAGCUCUGUCAGCAGGGAAGAAAGAAAUGACGGUACCUGACCAAGAAGCCCCGGCUAACUACGUGCCAGCAGCCGCGGUAAUACGUAGGGGGCAAGCGUUAUCCGGAUUUACUGGGUGUAAAGGGAGCGUAGACGGUUAUGUAAGUCUGGAGUGAAAGCCCGGGGCCCAACCCCGGGACUGCUUUGGAAACUGUGUAACUGGAGUACAGGAGGGGCAGGCGGAAUUCCUGGUGUAGCGGUGAAAUGCGUAGAUAUCAGGAGGAACACCGGCGGCGAAGGCGGCUUACUGGACUGUAACUGACACUGAGGCUCGAAAGCGUGGGGAGCAAACAGGAUUAGAUACCCUCGUA